Molecule: ribosomal RNA, 501 nt
Filed under: uncultured bacterium
Lineage: Bacteria
Description: bacterial SSU rRNA
Rfam family: Bacterial small subunit ribosomal RNA
Source: RNAcentral
ACGCUGGCGGCGUGCCUAAUACAUGCAAGUUGAACGCAACAAAGACACCAGAGCUUGCUUCUACCGUUUUUGUUGAGUAGCGAACGGGUGAGUAACGCGUGGGUAACCUGCCUUAUAGCGGGGGAUAACUAUUGGAAACGAUAGCUAAUACCGCAUAACAAUAGAGAUUGCAUAAUCUUUAUUUGAAAGUGCCAACUGGUACACUAUGAGAUGGACCCGCGUUGUAUUAGCUAGUUGGUAGUGUAAUGGACUACCAAGGCGAUGAUACAUAGCCGACCUGAGAGGGUGAUCGGCCACAUUGGGACUGAGACACGGCCCAAACUCCUACGGGAGGCAGCAGUAGGGAAUCUUCGGCAAUGGACGAAAGUCUGACCGAGCAACGCCGCGUGAGUGAAGAAGGUUUUCGGAUCGUAAAACUCUGUUGUUAGAGAAGAAUGUUGAUUAGAGUGGAAAAUUAAUCAAGUGACGGUAUCUAACCAGAAAGGGACGGCUAACUACGUG